GUGGAUCAAGAUUAUUUUAGUUUAGUUAAUAAUAAUAAGUUGUAAGCAUAGAGUUACUUCAAGUACUUGAGAAAAUUUUGUUACUUGUCAUGGUUUUAUAUAACUCAAACUUCUUUGCUUUGUAUGUAAGUUACAUAUGAUCUCCUAUAGGAAAAGAAAACUGUGCAGUCAGUAGGUUUAUUAAUCAUCCUUUUGGUAAAUUCCUGUUAUCUAAAACUAGAAAUUAACAUGAAAAUCAAAACAUCUGACAAUUUGAUUCUGGAAAGCUUUCCAAUUUUAUCUCUAUCAAACAAGUAAUUUGCACAAAGAAGAAUAUACAAUA
RNAcentral lists this long non-coding RNA (322 nucleotides) under Glycine max (soybean). RNAcentral's name for it is "long non-coding RNA (GMAX_LNC004517)". The record is from RNAcentral. Lineage: Eukaryota; Viridiplantae; Streptophyta; Magnoliopsida; Fabales; Fabaceae.